GGGGGAGAGAAGGGGAAAGAUGGGGGUUGGGGACUUACUGUGCUUAUAAAUGAUUGAAGAGGAAAUAGAGCCUUAUAAAUAAUAUGUGAUAUGGUCUAAUUGUGAGAUAAAAUAUUGGUUGGCCAUGUAAACUGAUCAGGACAGUGGCUUGGAAAUUGAGCCAAGCCAAAUUCGGCUGGCUAGGAUUUCUGGAGAAAUUUUAUUGCACCCAAGAAAAUGCCAUAAAUUGAUUAUGGUGAAAAUAUUUUUUGUUCCCCUUCAUAAUCUCUUGUAUUGUUUGAGAUCAACAUCAGUUUAUUUUGUGUUGCUUAUGGCCAUGCAGGCAAUACGGGUGAAAGUUACAA
Molecule: unclassified non-coding RNA, 344 nt
Filed under: Hevea brasiliensis (rubber tree)
Lineage: Eukaryota; Viridiplantae; Streptophyta; Magnoliopsida; Malpighiales; Euphorbiaceae
Source: RNAcentral